UCCAAACACAAUCAACAAUCUCAAAUCACUAUCUCCCUCAAUCUCCCCUCACUAAUCAAACUCUGUAACAAUCAUCUUGAAGUUGGUUCCUUGAAUCUCAUCUAUUUCUCUAUUUCGUGUCACUCAUUGAAAAACUAUGGCUCCUGAGACUCGUUUCGCCGGAAAAACAAACAAGGAAGGUGCACCGGAGAAGAAGAAGAAGAAGAACGAGUCUGCGGCGGAGAAGAAGAAAGCUGUGGCGGAGAAGAAGAAAGCUGCGGCGGUGAAGAGGAGGAGAGAAGCCGUGAAAAAAAAAGAGAUGCAGCAAAGAAGAAGACUGAAACCUCAGAAAAGAAGAGGAAGCAAGACUCGUCUUCGUCGGAGUCUUCAUCCAAUCCAACCAAGCGGCGUCGGACCGCAUCUUCACCAGAACAACAUUCCGAUCCCGAUCAUUCCCCGGCACCAUCAGCGGAAUUGCUUUCUCAGGAUGAUAGAGAGGGUACGCCAAGCCCAUCAUUUCCGAUUGAGCCACAAAAAGCACCUACUCAAACACCCAGUGAGGCGGAGAAUCCACUGCAAGCUCCAAUAACUUCUAACAACAGAGAGGAUCCCAACAGAGAGUCACACUCACCAGAGGCUGCCAUUAACAAUGAAGCGCAAAGAACGAUUGGAUCUAACAACAGUGAUUCAAACCCACCUGAGGCUGCCAUUGGAUCUGCUACCAUUGACAAUGACGCGCCAAGAACGGCUGGGGAGGAGAAUAUGGCCGUAGAACCAAUGAGACCUGUUGGUUUUUUUCUUCAAGCCGAGUGAUUAUUGGACGGCUUGCAAGCUCUCCUCAAGGUGCCACCAACACGAUUUUCUUGAGACGAUUAAAGACUUUAAGGAGUCAGAGAAGAGUUGGUUUGAGAAUCACCCUCAGUUCAAGCAUUUAUUCCACAUGGAUUGUUGCGAGAAAAGAAAGGUUCAGGGAUUGUGGAUGUUGCUACUUCGUUGUAU
This is a long non-coding RNA of Brassica napus (rape), 978 nucleotides long. RefSeq lists it as uncharacterized. Lineage: Eukaryota; Viridiplantae; Streptophyta; Magnoliopsida; Brassicales; Brassicaceae. The record is from RefSeq and is a predicted model, not a curated record. The transcript has 3 exons.